GAACCUAUUAAGGUACAAUGAAAGUGUUAAGGUUUUAACUCAUAUCUUGUGUAACUCAGAAACCAAGUCAUGGAGAUCCUCUAAGCCUGCACCAUUGGAGCUUUGAUGCUUUGUUUCCUGUUGCGAUUUGGGGACAGUGAUGAUGAUUGGUUGGCUGGAUUGUUAGGUGAACCGGAAAAACAUGGUGUUUGCGUUUUUAGUUGGGUUUUCUUAUUGAUUUCCUUCAUACUUUACCCUGUGUUUGUCUAUAUCUAUAUGCCUCUACCACUUGAUGGUGUUGACUGCCUUUGCUGGUAGAUGAACAAUGGCCAUAGUCUCUGUGGGCCAAGUUAGAGGAAAAUAGAAUUUAUGCAGUCGUCUUCCUACAAGCAGGAGCUGAUUAAUGAAUCAAUUGGGUGAUGUCACUACAAUUGCAGAGGGCCUCUAUUGUGCAUUUAUCAUUGUAAAUCACUGCUAUGUAGCUUUUGCUUAUUCUUAAAUAUCAUGAUAUAUUGUUAAAUUGUGAUGUGAAAACUUGUUCAUUAA
Musa acuminata AAA Group (dessert banana) is the source of this 525-nucleotide long non-coding RNA. RefSeq lists it as uncharacterized. NCBI's taxonomy places the organism in Eukaryota, Viridiplantae, Streptophyta, Magnoliopsida, Zingiberales, Musaceae. The transcript is spliced from 2 exons. The record is from RefSeq and is a predicted model, not a curated record.